AUGAGGGGGAGGACAGGGGUAAGGGAGACAGGGAGAAAGGGGGUAGGAGAAAGGAGAAAGGGGGUGGGAGAAAGGAGAAAGGGGGUAGGAGAAAGGAGGAAGGCUGGGAGAAAGGAGAAAAAGUUGGAGAAAGGAGAAAAAUAAAAUAUCUCUCCUUUUAAAAAAAUUUCUAAUAUUUCAAGAAAAAAUAUCUCAAAAGGAGAUGUUUUAUUCUAUUGGGAGAAAGGAGAACGGGGUAGGAGAAAGGAGAAGAGGGGUGGGAGAAGGGAGAAGGGUACCCCCCUGUCCUCCCCCUCCACUAUGUUAGAACUGU
Molecule: long non-coding RNA, 313 nt
Filed under: Mytilus galloprovincialis (Mediterranean mussel)
Lineage: Eukaryota; Metazoa; Mollusca; Bivalvia; Mytilida; Mytilidae
Source: RNAcentral